Molecule: ribosomal RNA, 468 nt
Filed under: uncultured bacterium
Lineage: Bacteria
Description: partial 16S ribosomal RNA
Rfam family: Bacterial small subunit ribosomal RNA
Source: RNAcentral
GACGAACGCUGGCGGCGUGCUUAACACAUGCAAGUCGAACGGAAAGGCCCUGCUUUUGUGGGGUGCUCGAGUGGCGAACGGGUGAGUAACACGUGAGUAACCUGCCCUUGACUUUGGGAUAACUUCUGGAAACUGGGGCUAAUACCGGAUAGGAGCUCCUGCUGCAUGGUGGGGGUUGGAAAGUUUCGGCGGUUGGGGAUGGACUCGCGGCUUAUCAGCUUGUUGGUGGGGUAGUGGCUUACCAAGGCUUUGACGGGUAGCCGGCCUGAGAGGGUGACCGGCCACAUUGGGACUGAGAUACGGCCCAGACUCCUACGGGAGGCAGCAGGGGGGAAUAUUGCACAAUGGGCGGAAGCCUGAUGCAGCAACGCCGCGUGCGGGAUGACGGCCUUCGGGUGGUAAACCGCUUUCGCCUGUGACGAAGCGUGAGUGACGGUAAUGGGUAAAGAAGCACCGGCUAACUACGUG